GAUCCAUGUGGAGGAGACAUCUAGUUGACCCGAAUAGUCAUCUGAUCAAACAGAGAGCCAUAUGAGGUCUGGAUGAAUAGUGAGACACAAGGUACAGAAAUGUUCUCAUAAACUGACUUGUUGGCACCGUCACAGAUGGCUACGGUUUAAUGUCAUCUUCCAAGCUUCUGGCUUCAUCCCUAUAGCCGCAAUGCACAGACGGGUCUGUCUGUCACAAUAAUGCCCCCUAUUAACUCCCUUCAGCAGAUGUCCCUUCACUUUUGUUCCCAAGCUGCAACAACACAUGGUCUCUCAGCAGCUCGAGAAUUAAAACACCCUGAUUAAAGCUUCAGACUUCAGUCUCCGCUCAUCACAAGUUAAUGCUGAAUCUUGCCCGCCUGCUAACUAAUUUAAAAUCAGUACCAUUCAGCGCCUCUGAUUUACACAGUAGCUAAACUCGAGUCAGAUGAAAUUGGGUAAUUUCUCGACAGACCGGAUCCUCGGGUGGCUGCUUGGAGUCAUCAUCGGCUCUGAUUCGUGUCGAGCAACUGCUAAAGUUAUCAAGCGAUGGAGAAACUCACGGACAGUGACUGUGAUAAGAAUAAAGCGUAACGCUUACUUCACCUGGGAAGAAGCGUCCGUGGAACAAUCACUAAUGUGCCAAGAAAAUCCAAAAUAAUUGGCUCAGUGGGAUUUUGUUUUAUUUCAAGUAAGAUGAUUCGAGGGCAGCAGAUGUUAGAGGUUCAUAUCAUUGUAUGCAAAGUAUUUUAACUAGACGCUCAUUAUUUAAAUUUCUUAUGGAAAAGGAACACAGCACGAUACGCUGCGAUGGAUUUGGUGUUC
Molecule: non-coding RNA, 822 nt
Organism: Paramisgurnus dabryanus
Lineage: Eukaryota; Metazoa; Chordata; Actinopteri; Cypriniformes; Cobitidae
Source: RefSeq, a predicted model, not a curated record